This 2280-nucleotide long non-coding RNA is filed under the name Homo sapiens (human). Its description in RNAcentral is "HSALNT0136158". Lineage: Eukaryota; Metazoa; Chordata; Mammalia; Primates; Hominidae. The record is from RNAcentral.
CUUCAAGCUCCACCUCCCAGGUUCAAGCAAUUCUCCUGCCCCAGCCUCCCGAGUAGCUGGGACUAAAGACAUGUGCCACCAAGCCCAGCUAAUUUUUUGUAUUUUUAGUAGAGAAAGGGUUUCACUCUGUUAGCCAGGAUGGUCUCUAUCCCCUGAGCUCGUGAUCUGCCUGCCUAGGUCUCCCAAAGUGCUGGGAUUGCAGGCAUGAGCCACCAUGCCCAGCCUAAUGUAUUUUCUUCAGAAUAUUUUGAAGAAUUGAAAAGUAUUGAAAUGCAUUAAAUUAAUCCACUCCAGACAUCUGUUACCAAAACACCAAGGUUUGGUCUAGGUCUUGCUGCUUGCUGCACAGAAAGCCGAUUAUUCAGAGGACAAGUAUUGCCAAGGAAGUGCAGCAGGAUAAUUUAGGAAUCAGAGAGACAGAGGGGUUGAGGAGGGUGCUUAUUAUUUAUUAUUUAGGUGCACUGGCCCAGUCAGAUUAACAUCCAAAAAGACUGAGCCCUGAACAAAGAGUCCGGUUACCUUUUAAGCAUUUUGUGGGGCAGGGGGAGAUCUGUGCAGGGGGAAGCAUAUUACAGAAGUGAGAAACAGACAGUUAUUCAAUUGAGACAUGCAUUACAUCAUUUCUUACUUUUCAAGGAAAAACAUGUUUUACGACUUGAGUUUAUCUGCCUAGUGACCUUGCAGUUGCACAGCUAGAGAAACAGGGUCUUCACAAUGCCUGGGAAAGGGAGAGAUAAGGCUCACUAGCCACAGAAAAACAGGCAAUUAAUUUUUAAAGGACUUCAGCUCUUUCUUUUCCUCAGGGGGAAUUGGUUUUUUUUUACAUACAACUGAGUUUUUGCUUACACAUUCUUUAAUUUCUUUUAAUUCCUGUUUCAGAAGAAGGCUUUAAUUGUGUGCUGCAGCCAAGGAGAUGUGAGCUCAAUCUCAAAUCCAUCGCCCUGACCAACUAAAACUAGGAGUUUCUAUAGCAGAAAGAGAGGAUAAAAAGAAGAGAGUUGUUGCAGAAAUUUGAAGAGACAACGGGUGAAAAUUUUAUAGAAUCUGUCAAAGACAUCAGAUUCACAAAUGGCUACAUAUACCAAGCAGGAUAAUGAAAAAGAAAUCCACACAACAGUAAAACUGCGUAACAUCAAAGGAAAAAAAAAUCUCAAAAGCAAGCAGGCAGAAAAGACCAAUCAUGAACAAAGAAAUGAUACUUAGACUGAAUGUAAACUUCUCUACAGCAACAAUAGAAGUCAGAAGAUGGUGGAAUAGUAUCUUCAAAAUGCUUAGAGAAAACAAGAGUCAACCCAGAGUUGCAAACCCAGUAAAACUGUUUUUUUUUUCUAUUUUUUUUUGAGACAGGGUCUUACUCCCACUGCCCAGGCUGGAGUGCAGUGGUCUGAUCACAGUUCACUGCAGCCUCGACCUCCUGACUCAGGUGAUCCUCCUGCCUCAGCCUCCCAAGUAGCUGGGAUCACAGGCAUGUGCCACCAUGCCAGGCUAAUGUUUUGUAUUUUUAGUAGAGGUGGUGUCUUGCCAUGUUGCUCAGAUUGGUCUUGGACUCCUGAGCUCAAGUGAUCAGCCCACCUCAGCCUCCUAAAGUGCUGGGAUUACAGGCAAAUCACCACAACUGGCCCAGUAAAACUAUCUUUCAAAAACAGGAUGAAAUGAAGACAUUUUUCAGAAAGAGUUAAUAAAAUCUAAGAGUUCACAAAGUGGCCCUCACUAUAGUAACUUCAAAAGGAGGAAAAUGAUCACAUAAAGAAGAUCAGAGAUGAAAGAAGAAACCAUGAGGCUGAGUGCAGUAGCUCAUGCCUGUAAUCCCAGCACUUUGGGAGGCCGAGGCAGGCAGAUCACUUGAGGUCAGGAGUUUGAUACCAGCCUGGGCAACAUAGAGAAACCCGGUAUCUACUAAAGAUACAAAAAUUAGCCAGGCGUGGUGACAUGUGCCUGUAAUCUCAGCUACUUGGGAGGGUGAGGCAGGAGAAUCACUUGAACCCGGGAGAUGGAGGCUGCAGUGAAGCUGAGAUUGCACACUCUAGCCUGGGUGACAGAGCGAGACUCGUCUCGGGGAAAAAAAAAAAAAACAGCACAAGCAAAGAAAAUAAAAAACAUAUGAAUUGAUGUGCAUGAAUGUUACUUCUCUAGAUUACUGAGUUUUUGGUGUUCCCUUAAAUUUUGUGCCUACAAGUGCCUCAGUCGUUUUGCCUGUGGGAAGGAUCUUAUUCAACACGAGGCGUUUCACUUUAUCUCCCUAUUUUCACCAUAGUACCCUCUUCCUGUCUUCAUCCUCAG